This 261-nucleotide ribosomal RNA is filed under the name uncultured archaeon. RNAcentral's name for it is "partial 16S ribosomal RNA". It matches the Rfam family "Archaeal small subunit ribosomal RNA", at positions 748 to 1008 of the family's 1478-position model. The record is from RNAcentral.
CAGCCGUAAACUAUGCGCGUUAGGUGUAUCGGUGACCACGAGUUACCGAGGUGCCGAAGGGAAACCGUGAAACGCACCACCUGGGAAGUACGGUCGCAAGGCUGAAACUUAAAGGAAUUGGCGGGGGAGCACCACAACAGGUGGAGCCUGCGGUUUAAUUGGAUUCAACGCCGGACAUCUCACCGGAUAAGACAGCUGAAUGAUUGUCAAUCUGAAGGUUUUACAUGACUAGCUGAGAGGUGGUGCAUGGCGUCAGUGACU